GACGAAGGGGGCUAGCGUUGUUCGGAUUCAUUGGGCGUAAAGGGUGCGUAGGUGGCGGGGUAAGUCUGGUGUGAAAUCUCGGGGCUCAACCCCGAAACUGCACUGGAUACUGCCUUGCUAGAGUACUGGAGAGGAGAUUGGAAUUUACGGUGUAGCAGUGAAAUGCGUAGAUAUCGUAAGGAAGACCAGUGGCGAAGGCGAAUCUCUGGACAGUUACUGACACUGAGGCACGAAGGCCAGGGGAGCAAACGGG
This 253-nucleotide ribosomal RNA is filed under the name uncultured bacterium. RNAcentral describes it as "partial 16S ribosomal RNA". It matches the Rfam family "Bacterial small subunit ribosomal RNA", at positions 524 to 776 of the family's 1533-position model. The record is from RNAcentral.